AGCGAACGCUGGCGGCAGGCUUAACACAUGCAAGUCGAGCGCCCCGCAAGGGGAGCGGCAGACGGGAGAGUACCACGUGGGAACAUACCUUUUGGUUCGGAACAACUGAGGGAAACUUCAGCUAAUACCGGAUAAGCCCUUACGGGGAAAGAUUUAUCGCCGAAAGAUUGGCCCGCGUCUGAUUAGCUAGUUGGUGAGGUAACGGCUCACCAAGGCGACGAUCAGUAGCUGGUCUGAGAGGAUGAUCAGCCUCACUGGGACUGGGACACGGCCCAGACUCCUACGGGAGGCAGCAGUGGGGAAUAUUGGACAAUGGGGGCAACCCUGAUCCAGCCAUGCCGCGUGAGUGAUGAAGGCCUUAGGGUUGUAAAGCUCUUUUGCCCGGGAAGAUAAUGACGGUACCGGGAGAAUAAGCCCCGGCUAACUUCGUG
This 431-nucleotide ribosomal RNA is filed under the name uncultured bacterium. RNAcentral's name for it is "partial 16S ribosomal RNA". It matches the Rfam family "Bacterial small subunit ribosomal RNA", at positions 29 to 507 of the family's 1533-position model. The record is from RNAcentral.